UGUUUCAGAACUCUCAGUCAUAAUCCUCUGACAACUGUUGAAGAUUCAUAUCUUUUUAAAUUGCCAGCAUUAAAAUAUCUAGACAUGGGAACAACUCAAGUAUCACUUUCGACAAUUGAGAAUAUCCUCCUGAUGACUCUUGAAUUGGAAAAACUGAUCUUACCUAGCCAUUUGGCCUGCUGCCUCUGCCAGUUUAAAAAUAAUAUUGAAGUUGUCUGCAAGACAGUGAAGCUGCAAUGUGACAGUGCAUGUCGGACAAACAAUACACGUUGCCGUGAGUCUGAAUUGCCUGAUGAGAAAUGUUUUAACUUUUGUUUUGUUAUUCAACUUUUAACUGGUGAUCAUAGAUUUUUCAAACUAAUGAUGAAACUGCUUUAUUUUUAUUUAUUUGUCUAGAAUUCAACUCCCUAAAUUUCUGGAUUGCUCUCUUGCUCAAAGUGAGGUUUUCAGCUAUAAUUUAAUAAUAUAGCUAUUCCAUAUGCCUAAGGAUGAAGAGAAAGGAAUAGAAGGGAGAAGGAAUAAUAUUAAUGGCCACACAUGGUGUCCUGUGCUUUCUGCUUGGUACUUUGUUUUCCAGUGAUAACUUAUUCAUAUAGUACAAUGCAGUUAGUAAGCUGUUUUUUUAAUACACUAGGUCUCAAGUGUCCUCUGCCUUAUAGGGCAGGCAUCAAUCUAUUUUGUUCUGUUUGUGCAACUUUAUAAAAGAGAAUAAAUAUUUUAUUUGAAGUCUAGGAGUUUCUGAUUCUAUAAUAAGAAAUUGCACCUAGACCAUCCAACUCUGAACUUCUCUUAAUCUCAAACUUUUCUAUCCUCAGGUAAUUCAUGUGCUUUCAAAUGUUUUUCUGUGUAUUAGGUUUAUUAGCACUAAUUUCAUGACUUUCAAAAUGUGGUUGCUUUCAUAUCCAAAUAGCUCAAAUAUAGGUCUCUACCAGUGAUCUUGGGCAAAUUAUAACUAAUAGCACUUUGCUACUUACAUGCAUAUAACUUAUUUUUCAAAAUGAUUUUUCACCAGUUACAUUAUUUCCUUUUUCCCCAGAGGUGAGCAGAACAAGUAUUUUUCAUCUUCAUUUACAGAUAAGGAAAACAAGAUGGGAGGUGUCAAGUGCUAUAGCCUUGAACCCAGGUCUUCUGUACCCAAUUCUAACCCACAUUCCUCUUUUGUCUCCAACCUUACCUCCUCCUUGACUCUCACCACACAAAAAAAUACUUUUAGCUCUCCUGGGAAAGAAACCAGCUAUUGCUGGGUAUGAUGGACUGUAAUCCCAGUGGCUUGGGAGGCUGAGGCAGGAGGAUUGUAAAUUCAAAGCCAGCCUCAGUAACUUA
Non-coding RNA from Marmota flaviventris (yellow-bellied marmot), 1323 nucleotides. Lineage: Eukaryota; Metazoa; Chordata; Mammalia; Rodentia; Sciuridae. The record is from RefSeq and is a predicted model, not a curated record.